This 1100-nucleotide ribosomal RNA is filed under the name uncultured bacterium. RNAcentral's name for it is "bacterial SSU rRNA". It matches the Rfam family "Bacterial small subunit ribosomal RNA", at positions 28 to 1142 of the family's 1533-position model. The record is from RNAcentral.
GACGAACGCUGGCGGCGUGCUUAACACAUGCAAGUCGAACGAUGAACUCCAGCUUGCUGGGGGGAUUAGUGGCGAACGGGUGAGUAACACGUGAGUAACCUGCCCUUGACUCUGGGAUAAGCGCUAGAAAUGGCGUCUAAUACCGGAUACGAGCUUCAGCCGCAUGGCUAGGAGUUGGAAAGAAUUUUGGUCAAGGAUGGACUCGCGGCCUAUCAGCUAGUUGGUGAGGUAAUGGCUCACCAAGGCGACGACGGGUAGCCGGCCUGAGAGGGUGACCGGCCGCACUGGGACUGAGACACGGCCCAGACUCCUACGGGAGGCAGCAGUGGGGAAUAUCGCACAAUGGGCGAAAGCCUGAUGCAGCAACGCCGCGUGAGGGAUGACGGCCUUCGGGUUGUAAACCUCUUUUAGUAGGGAAGAAGCGAAAGUGACGGUACCUGCAGAAAAAGCACCGGCUAACUACGUGCCAGCAGCCGCGGUAAUACGUAGGGUGCAAGCGUUGUCCGGAAUUAUUGGGCGUAAAGAGCUCGUAGGCGGUUUGUCGCGUCUGCUGUGAAAUCUGGGGGCUCAACCCCCAGCCUGCAGUGGGUACGGGCAGACUAGAGUGCGGUAGGGGAGAUUGGAAUUCCUGGUGUAGCGGUGGAAUGCGCAGAUAUCAGGAGGAACACCGAUGGCGAAGGCAGAUCUCUGGGCCGUAACUGACGCUGAGGAGCGAAAGCGUGGGGAGCGAACAGGAUUAGAUACCCUGGUAGUCCACGCCGUAAACGUUGGGAACUAGAUGUGGGGGCCAUUCCACGGUCUCCGUGUCGCAGCUAACGCAUUAAGUUCCCCGCCUGGGGAGUACGGCCGCAAGGCUAAAACUCAAAGGAAUUGACGGGGGCCCGCACAAGCGGCGGAGCAUGCGGAUUAAUUCGAUGCAACGCGAAGAACCUUACCAAGGCUUGACAUAUACCGGAAACGUCCAGAGAUGGUCGCCCCGCAAGGUCGGUAUACAGGUGGUGCAUGGUUGUCGUCAGCUCGUGUCGUGAGAUGUUGGGUUAAGUCCCGCAACGAGCGCAACCCUCGUUCUAUGUUGCCAGCACGUUAUGGUGGGAACUCAU